CGGUAAAUAAUUUUUGUAGCGUAAAAGCUAAAUAAAUUCAUAUAUACUGUAAUACAGAUAACCAAAGCAUAAGAUUUAAUUUACAGUGACACGUGGGCACACGAACAACCAAAAAUAUCAAAAGUGGUAAACCUACAGUUUUUGAAGAUGCAAGUCCAACUGUAGCCCUCAAUGAAAUGAGCUAUCUACUGACUAUCCUGAGCCUGAAAGGGGUGGAAAUGAGGGUCGUGAGAUUAUAUAAUCCCAAUGAGUAAACAAAUACCAUCUAAAAUAUCUAAAGCUGAGUAAAUGGAGACAGAUAAAAUAGUUUAACAUACUAUAAUUCAUCACCUUUCAACUCAUUUCAACCAAAUAAAAUCAAUUCAUAUAAAUCAAGUAAUCAACAUGGCUUAUGAAUUUCUUAAAACUUUAGCUAAUGCCAAAAUGAUUCUCGUACUCAGUUGUCAGGGAUACCUUGGCCUGAGGCUAUCCCAACCGAGUCCGUCAAGGUUGUUAAAAAGUCAUAUACGCAUAAAUCAUGUUUUUAUUUUGAAAACAUAGUCGUUCCUUGGUGUUGGCUGAGUUCACCCUCACGUGGUGGUUUGGCGUGAAGUGAACUCUAAAGUUUUAACCUCAGGAUUUGUCCACCCGCGCCUCUCAUACUGAGGUAUGAAUAUAAUAGGGUUACUGUGCCCCUCUAAUAGGCUGAUCCACGAAACCCGUCUACUGCAGUGACCAAUUUAUAACCCACCAAUUCAAUAAAAUUCAAUAGCAUGACAUGGCAAUUAUUUUAGUUUACAGCUUCUCAAGGCAAAUCAACAGUUCAUACUUUUUUAGCACAUUUACCAAAUCAACCAUUCAUGCCAAUAUUAUCAUAAGCCAUUCAAUUCAAACCAUGAUUUAUAACACAACAAUUAGUCUCCAAUUACUCCAUUUUCAAAACCAUCUUUCAAUUUCAAGACAAUUUUAUAAAAUCAUUUUCACUCAAUCACAUUUUGCUUAUAAAACAUAAAGAUUUACCAUUUAAACUCAUUUUCCAUAAAAUCACAAAAUCGGAUAAAAACCACUUUAGAUAAUUAAGACGAUAGUAAGGUUACUCACUAUUUUGGGAGUCGAAUUUCGAGUACUCCGAUUCUUGAUCCUCGGGUACUAUCUCUUUACUUUUGCCAGAAUACUCACCACCUAGACAUAAUGCACAAUAAGCCAUUUACUACAUUUGUGCUAAAUUGUUAUAAAACCAAUUCAGGCUUUAUACUAAUGCAUGAAAUGGAAUGCAAAUUGUUCGGAUUAUCGUCUAAACACGGUGUUCUACACAAAUUCAAUUGUGUACCUAAAUAAAAUGGUAUUGGCCUAAUUCGAUCUAUCACCCGAUUAAUUGGCCAAUACGUCCAAUUCAACUCCAAAUAAUUCCAUUUUUCUUCCAAUUCUCCAAACCAUCAAAUACAAGUCAAAUAGCAUAAAAUUUAGCAAAAUCAUCUUCACAUUUUCUUUUGGGAAUUUCGGCCAUGGUGGGUGAUCAAUACUAUGAUUUUUCCUACUUGAUUUUUUCACCGUAAUUCAUCAUUUCCUAACCAAUUUACUUGAAAUAAAAUCAAAAUCAUCAUCAAUAUUCCACAUGGAGAAUUCGACCAAUGAGGAUUAUGGAAGAACAUGAAUUUUUCUUGCUUGAUUUUCAUGCUACACAUCACCAAUCAACUAAAAACACUAGAAUAUCUUAAAAUCUAACCAAAACAAUCAUCAAAAUCUCUCUCGAAGUGUUCGGCCAGCAAGAGACCCAUCAUGAAAUCAUGUGAUUCAACCAUGAAAAAUGCAAAGAAUGUAUGGGAAAGGUAGAUCACAAGUCAAAAUCAAGAAAUCUUACGUUUGAUUGCUUGAUUACUUG
Molecule: long non-coding RNA, 1861 nt
Filed under: Theobroma cacao (cacao)
Lineage: Eukaryota; Viridiplantae; Streptophyta; Magnoliopsida; Malvales; Malvaceae
Description: long non-coding RNA (TCAC_LNC004888)
Source: RNAcentral